Molecule: long non-coding RNA, 594 nt
Filed under: Homo sapiens (human)
Lineage: Eukaryota; Metazoa; Chordata; Mammalia; Primates; Hominidae
Description: HSALNT0112939
Source: RNAcentral
AAUUCUUAUGUAGUGUAGCCUCUUCUUUGCAAGAAAGCAUCAUUUUAGGGUAAGAGCCAUUUCUCAGAUGUUCACCUUACUUUCUGUAGUAAGGCUUCAACAUGCUUGUGACUGCCUAUAACCCUAUCUUCAUCUUUCAAGGCCUGUGGAUACUGAAAACAAAACAAUGAAAGAACAAGACCUCUGAUAGAUUUCAUGGGCUUCUUGGAGGACCAACGUCAGUCAAUGGAAGUGUGAUGACUUAUCAGAGGCUUCCUUGGUUGCAGUACAGAAGAUGCAAUGCCAGCAGUGCUUUUUCAGGAGCUCCCUCUGAAGAAGAUCAUGGCUCAGUUACCAUGGACACCAAGAAGCUAUGCAGCUUUUUAUUCUUUUUACUUCCUUCAUUAUGUGCCCUCCCAGGAAAUAUAUUUUCAUUAGUAACUAGGUUUUGAAACUUUUGCCAAGACACCAGCCUAACCUAUUGCUCUCUAAACAAAUACCUUCAGUAUCUAAUACAUAGGUAUAUGCCAGUCUGAGCCAACUGUGCUAUUAGGAAACUAAUAAAUACUCCUUUGCUUCCUAUUUAAUGAGAAAAAGCACGACAAUAUUGCUCAU